CCUCCUCUCAGCCUGGCUGCUGCAAUGGAGUCUCAGCCUUGCUGGGGUGACUGCUGUGCUUCCACAGCUCUUUGGUAAAGUCUCAGCAAACACAAUCAGGGCUGCUCUGUAAAGCUAUCUUACCAGGCUUACCUGAUUCACACAGCAGGUUACAAUGACAAGAACAAGAUAUCUGAUGUGAAUGCAGACUGAUCCAGAGGAAAGGAAUAGUAAUCAAAGAUAAAAUUGUUAAUGGAAAGGAGAAAAAGAAUUUAAAGAGCUAUGCAAGCAAAAAAUGUUGGGGAACAUCAUUUGUCUUUCUGUAAUCAGUAAAAGCUAUUCAUUACAUUUGUUGAACGUGUCCAGACUACAGAGAAAUCUGUGUUGCAGUCUACCAGUGUUUCACUGUCUGAGAGUGGGGGAUGUUUUGGGUGCUCUGGGUGUAGCCUGUGUGUGGGCACAUGGCAGUGCUUGAGGAUGCCAGUCUUGCUGGCUACUGUUGGAGGACUUUACAGGUCAGAAUUUCUACACUGCAUAUUGCUCACAGGGGGGACAUGAGAGCUCCCUGACACAUCCUAUGCCCCAAAUUUUACCCAGAUAUUGUUUCAGAAAAUUCUGGUGUCAAAACCAAGACUGGGAACGUGAUAACAUUUAAAUAACAGGCAUGAUGACAGAGGAGAUCCUCAAACCCAACCAUUCAACUGGAUUAUUUAGCAAUGUAGAUAAAGCUUAUGAUGUACACAUUCCUGACUAAUUUUUUCCACUUCUUUUGUAUUUUCUUUUUCAAUAAUACCCCUGACAAAGGGGUUGUACAAUGCAAUUGAGUCAGUGAAAUCUUUUAGCAGGACCUAGCAGUCAGCAAAGAAAAGAAUAAACUCAGAAAGCAAGUAUAAAGGAACAAAACCCUGGUUACAGCAGGACAUUACAUGUAAUUAAUAAUAAUCUGAAGGAAAAAGAGGCUUGGAUAGCCAUGUCAGCAGUAUUUCCGUUGAUGUGGGGACCUACUCAAACAUACAAAAUAUUUUCUUCCCUGUGUCACAGAUCCCUUACAGAAAAGCUAUAAUAGAUGUCUCAGGGUCUGGGGGCUUGGAUUUUCUUAUUCCCCUAAAAAGAACAAAUGAAAAGCACCGAUCCAAGCUAAAAAAUUCAACUGCAAAAAGAAACAAUACCAACUGCCUUAUACUGACAAGAUGCUCUAGCAGCUUAGUUGGUUUUCUUGCUACUUUACAAUUAGUUAUGAAUUUUUGAAGCCCUUUUCUCCUUGCAGAGAAGACACAGUGGGGAUGAUGAGGGCUAAUCAUGGCAUGUGAGCCAACACUCCCAUUAGCAGGAGCUCUGAUGCACUCACAACUGUGCUAACUGCAUCUGAGCACUGACCAAUUCUCUGCCACAGGAAACCUAAAGUAAGAAUAAAUGUAGACUGCAAUCACAUUUAUAAAAACACCUACAUAAAAAAAAAGAGUGAAUAUGUGCAAAAAAGAUGU
Non-coding RNA from Cyanistes caeruleus (blue tit), 1463 nucleotides. NCBI's taxonomy places the organism in Eukaryota, Metazoa, Chordata, Aves, Passeriformes, Paridae. The record is from RefSeq and is a predicted model, not a curated record.